GAUGAACGCUGGCGGCGUGCCUAAUACAUGCAAGUCGAGCGAACAGACGAGGAGCUUGCUCCUCUGACGUUAGCGGCGGACGGGUGAGUAACACGUGGAUAACCUACCUAUAAGACUGGGAUAACUUCGGGAAACCGGAGCUAAUACCGGAUAAUAUGUUGAACCGCAUGGUUCAACAGUGAAAGACGGUCUUGCUGUCACUUAUAGAUGGAUCCGCGCCGCAUUAGCUAGUUGGUAAGGUAACGGCUUACCAAGGCAACGAUGCGUAGCCGACCUGAGAGGGUGAUCGGCCACACUGGAACUGAGACACGGUCCAGACUCCUACGGGAGGCAGCAGUAGGGAAUCUUCCGCAAUGGGCGAAAGCCUGACGGAGCAACGCCGCGUGAGUGAUGAAGGUCUUCGGAUCGUAAAACUCUGUUAUUAGGGAAGAACAAAUGUGUAAGUAACUAUGCACGUCUUGACGGUACCUAAUCAGAAAGCCACGGCUAACUACGUG
This 497-nucleotide ribosomal RNA is filed under the name uncultured bacterium. RNAcentral's name for it is "partial 16S ribosomal RNA". It matches the Rfam family "Bacterial small subunit ribosomal RNA", at positions 28 to 507 of the family's 1533-position model. The record is from RNAcentral.